RNAcentral lists this ribosomal RNA (470 nucleotides) under uncultured bacterium. Its description in RNAcentral is "bacterial SSU rRNA". It matches the Rfam family "Bacterial small subunit ribosomal RNA", at positions 8 to 526 of the family's 1533-position model. The record is from RNAcentral.
AGAGUUUGAUCAUGGCUCAGAACGAACGCUGGCGGCAGGCUUAACACAUGCAAGUCGAGCGCCCCGCAAGGGGAGCGGCAGACGGGUGAGUAACGCGUGGGAAUCUACCUAGCUCUACGGAAUAACCCAGGGAAACUUGGACUAAUACCGUAUACGUCCUUCGGGAGAAAGAUUUAUCGGAGUUGGAUGAGCCCGCGUUGGAUUAGCUAGUUGGUGGGGUAAUGGCCUACCAAGGCGACGAUCCAUAGCUGGUCUGAGAGGAUGAUCAGCCACACUGGGACUGAGACACGGCCCAGACUCCUACGGGAGGCAGCAGUGGGGAAUAUUGGACAAUGGGCGAAAGCCUGAUCCAGCCAUGCCGCGUGAGUGAUGAAGGCCCUAGGGUUGUAAAGCUCUUUCAACGGUGAAGAUAAUGACGGUAACCGUAGAAGAAGCCCCGGCUAACUUCGUGCCAGCCGCCGCGGUAAUAC